GUCAAGUCAUCAUGCCCCUUAUGUCCAGGGCUUCACGCAUGCUACAAUGGCCGGUACAGAGGGCUGCGAUGUCGUGAGGCGGAGCGAAUCUCUUAAAGCCGGUCUCAGUUCGGAUCGGGGUCUGCAACUCGACCCCGUGAAGUCGGAGUCGCUAGUAAUCGCGGAUCAGCAAAGCCGCGGUGAAUGCGUUCUCGGGGAUU
This 200-nucleotide ribosomal RNA is filed under the name uncultured organism. RNAcentral's name for it is "partial small subunit ribosomal RNA". It matches the Rfam family "Bacterial small subunit ribosomal RNA", at positions 1184 to 1378 of the family's 1533-position model. The record is from RNAcentral.